GACGAACGCUGGCGGCGUGCUUAGCACAUGCAAGUCGAACGGAAAGGCCUCUUUCGGGGGGUACUCGAGUGGCGAACGGGUGAGUAACACGUGAGUAACCUGCCCUUGACUUUGGGAUAACUUCAGGAAACUGGGGCUAAUACCGGAUAGGAGCUCCUGCUGCAUGGUGGGGGUUGGAAAGUUUCGGCGGUUGGGGAUGGACUCGCGGCUUAUCAGCUUGUUGGUGGGGUAGUGGCUUACCAAGGCUUUGACGGGUAGCCGGCCUGAGAGGGUGACCGGCCACAUUGGGACUGAGAUACGGCCCAGACUCCUACGGGAGGCAGCAGUGGGGAAUAUUGCACAAUGGGUGGAAGCCUGAUGCAGCAACGCCGUGUGCGGGAGGACGGCCUUCGGGUUGUAAACCGCUUUCGCUCAUGACGAAGCUUUGUGUGACGGUAGUGGGUAAAGAAGCACCGGCUAACUACGUG
Molecule: ribosomal RNA, 467 nt
Filed under: uncultured bacterium
Lineage: Bacteria
Description: partial 16S ribosomal RNA
Rfam family: Bacterial small subunit ribosomal RNA
Source: RNAcentral